CCCGGCAGAACCAGCUCGGCGGCCUCGCUUCGCAUGGAAUAAGCUCGAUCCAGCUCGGUUCGAGCAGCAGUUUGGCUCAGCUCGGUCCCGUUCGGGUCAGCUUGGGCUCGGCACAGCUCAGCUCACUUCAAAUCAGGCUUGGUUUGGUGCCUCAUCCGUGUCCAGCACUGACUGCCUCUGUCCUGGUCCCUGUCCCUGUCCCUGUCCCUGUCUCGUCUCUCCCCAGGGAACUUUGUGCCUAAUGCAGACAAUAACCAGGAAAAAAGAGGGGAGAAAAAAUCCCAGGAACAUCUCCGCUGAGCUGGUUACUUAUGCGGGGAGGUGAUGAAGGAGAAUUUGGGGACCUGGACUCCAGGUUCCACGGAUGUGCCACCAUUACCGUCCACCCAGGCACCCAAAAAUCCCCUCCCCCGUGUGUAGGGGCAGUGGAACAAAGCCAGGGAAGUGCUUUCACAACAGGGAGUUUCUCGGUGAAUGCAAAUGAAAGGCUUUGUGAAAUCGCUCCCAACAAUGGCUAAAGGGCUUUUUUUUCUGGUUUGUUUUAGAUGCCUUGUGCAACUUCGGCGUGUCCAAGUGCAGGGAACAGAGGCGAUUCUCUCAGCAGAAUGGAAUAUCAGCCCACUUGUGCAGGAGGAACAGAAGAAGGCAGAACGCCCGCCCGAGGUUAUCCAGCAGGACACGGAUUAGGCCGUGUGUUUCCCGGAUCAGCUGAAAAGAAAUCCUCUUGUGCUGGAUCUCAGCCUCCCUCACCCUUGUCCGCCCGCAUCCCUCGAGGGUGACGGGUCCCGGACCGCGGCUCGGGCGCAGCCCUUUGGAAAGCGGCGCUCGCAAGGAGCUCUUGUUCCGCCGUGUUCUCCCUCCUGUCACAGCCCUGCGUGUGUUGAACCACCCGUGCGACAUGCCAGAGCUGUUCUAGCUGCAGAGAUGUGCCCAGAGGAGCGGCUCAAGGAAUCCCCAGGGCACGGAGCUGAGCUCCAGCUCGGGGCUAAGCUCCCAUGCGUGUCCUGUCUGUGCUCUGCUGAUCCCGGCAUGGACAGCGCAUCACUGCUGUGUGAAAUAAAGCUUUUGUUUCUCUCGA
This is a non-coding RNA of Cyanistes caeruleus (blue tit), 1078 nucleotides long. The record is from RefSeq and is a predicted model, not a curated record. Lineage: Eukaryota; Metazoa; Chordata; Aves; Passeriformes; Paridae.